Molecule: ribosomal RNA, 717 nt
Filed under: uncultured Gemmatimonadota bacterium
Lineage: Bacteria; Pseudomonadati; Gemmatimonadota
Description: bacterial SSU rRNA
Rfam family: Bacterial small subunit ribosomal RNA
Source: RNAcentral
UUCGGGGGUGAGUAAAGCGGCGGACGGGUGAGUAACACGUGAGCGAUUUCCCCGGAGAAGGGGGACAACCCAGGGAAACCUGGGCUAAUACCGCAUACAGCGAUGGGAGUAAGCGCCCAUCGUCAAAGUUGGCCUCUCUUCGAAGCUAACAUCUCCGGAUGAGCUCGCGGCCUAUCAGCUAGUUGGUGAGGGUAACGGCCCACCAAGGCGAUGACGGGUAGCUGGCGUGAGAGCGCGACCAGCCACACUGGGACUGAGACACGGCCCAGACUCCUACGGGAGGCAGCAGUGGGGAAUCUUGCGCAAUGGGCGAAAGCCUGACGCAGCGACGCCGCGUGGGGGAGGAAGGCCUCAGGGUUGUAAACCCCUGUCAGGAGGGACGAAACGUGGAUCGGCAAACAGCCGGUUCGCUUGACGGUACCUUCAGAGGAAGCUCCGGCUAACUCCGUGCCAGCAGCCGCGGUAAUACGGAGGGAGCAAGCGUUGUUCGGAAUUACUGGGCGUAAAGCGCAGGUAGGCGGUCUGCUAAGUCUCCUGUGAAACUCCGGAGCUCAACUCCGGACAUGCAGAAGAUACUGGCAGUCUAGAGACCGGUAGAGGCAAGCGGAAUUCCUGGUGUAGCGGUGGAAUGCGUAGAUAUCAGGAAGAACACCUGUGGCGAAGGCGGCUUGCUGGGUCGGUUCUGACGCUGAUCUGCGAAAGCGUGGGGAGCAAACA